CAGUAGCCACGGUAAUACGAAGGGGGCUAGCGUUGUUCGGAAUUACUGGGCGUAAAGCGCACGUAGGCGGACAUUUAAGUCAGGGGUGAAAUCCCGGGGCUCAACCCCGGAACUGCCUUUGAUACUGGGUGUCUAGAGUAUGGAAGAGGUGAGUGGAAUUCCGAGUGUAGAGGUGAAAUUCGUAGAUAUUCGGAGGAACACCAGUGGCGAAGGCGGCUCACUGGUCCAUUACUGACGCUGAGGUGCGAAAGCGUGGGGAGCAAACAGGAUUAGAUACCCGGGUAGUCCCUGUCUCUUAUAC
Molecule: ribosomal RNA, 301 nt
Filed under: uncultured bacterium
Lineage: Bacteria
Description: partial 16S ribosomal RNA
Rfam family: Bacterial small subunit ribosomal RNA
Source: RNAcentral